Molecule: ribosomal RNA, 958 nt
Filed under: Lysobacter panacisoli
Lineage: Bacteria; Pseudomonadati; Pseudomonadota; Gammaproteobacteria; Lysobacterales; Lysobacteraceae
Description: bacterial SSU rRNA
Rfam family: Bacterial small subunit ribosomal RNA
Source: RNAcentral
UGCAAGUCGAACGGCAGCACAGCAGUAGCAAUACUGUGGGUGGCGAGUGGCGGACGGGUGAGGAAUGCAUCGGAAUCUGCCUAUUUGUGGGGGAUAACGUAGGGAAACUUACGCUAAUACCGCAUACGUCCUACGGGAGAAAGUGGGGGACCUUCGGGCCUCACGCAGAUAGAUGAGCCGAUGCCGGAUUAGCUAGUUGGCGGGGUAAAGGCCCACCAAGGCGACGAUCCGUAGCUGGUCUGAGAGGAUGAUCAGCCACACUGGAACUGAGACACGGUCCAGACUCCUACGGGAGGCAGCAGUGGGGAAUAUUGGACAAUGGGCGCAAGCCUGAUCCAGCCAUGCCGCGUGUGUGAAGAAGGCCUUCGGGUUGUAAAGCACUUUUGUCCGGAAAGAAAAGCUUCGGGUUAAUAACCCGGGGUUAUGACGGUACCGGAAGAAUAAGCACCGGCUAACUUCGUGCCAGCAGCCGCGGUAAUACGAAGGGUGCAAGCGUUACUCGGAAUUACUGGGCGUAAAGCGUGCGUAGGUGGUUUGUUAAGUCUGAUGUGAAAGCCCUGGGCUCAACCUGGGAACUGCAUUGGAAACUGGCUGACUAGAGUGCGGUAGAGGGGUGUGGAAUUCCCGGUGUAGCAGUGAAAUGCGUAGAUAUCGGGAGGAACAUCUGUGGCGAAGGCGACACCCUGGACCAGCACUGACACUGAGGCACGAAAGCGUGGGGAGCAAACAGGAUUAGAUACCCUGGUAGUCCACGCCCUAAACGAUGCGAACUGGAUGUUGGGGGCAACUUGGCCCUCAGUAUCGAAGCUAACGCGUUAAGUUCGCCGCCUGGGAAGUACGGUCGCAAGACUGAAACUCAAAGGAAUUGACGGGGGCCCGCACAAGCGGUGGAGUAUGUGGUUUAAUUCGAUGCAACGCGAAGAACCUUACCUGGCCUUGACAUGCACGGAACUUUCCA